Molecule: long non-coding RNA, 1028 nt
Filed under: Lathyrus oleraceus (garden pea)
Lineage: Eukaryota; Viridiplantae; Streptophyta; Magnoliopsida; Fabales; Fabaceae
Description: Pisum sativum (pea) long non-coding RNA (PSAT_LNC039775)
Source: RNAcentral
AAAGAUGAUCUGACAUAAAUUUUGUUCUUCAAUCACUGGCAGUUGGGAACUAUACUGAAUCCUCUGCAGAAACAAUUGAUCGAAAACUGAUAUAUCAUCAGAAGAUGAUUUGACAUAAAUUGUCUUCUUCAAUCACUACAUAUCAUAAACUAAAUAAAAUUAAUUAUGCGCGUUAUAAGUUAUCAAAAUAAAAGCAGUAAUUUAUCAGACAAAUUCAUGCAAACAAAUUGUUAAAGAAAUAAUUCAAAAAGAAAUACUGACAAAAAUUGGAGAGAAAAAAAAGAAAGAAAAAAAAUACCAUUAUACUUUGUCUGUCCCUCCCUUAUUGUCUUUGAUUUUUUCUGUUUACUAUUAUACUUUUUAUGAAUUAUGAAUUUAUGAUAUACGAUGUCUUGUUGUGGUAUGCAGUUACCAUUUAGUAAAACUGUAAUUCACAAUAACAUUUGGCAACCAUUUUGUAUUAUUUUUUAUUUGGUAAUUAAUUUUUUUUUUGUAUUUUUUUUUAAUUUUAAUAAUUGAUAGUAAUUGUAACAAUUGACAAAGGAUAAAAUAGGAAGAAAAAAUGCUAACCCAUUUUCGCCUAUUCCCUUUAUAUAUACUAGCGUUCAGACAGGCAUUCCCGUGCCCGUCUGCCCGCUUUUUUUAAUGCGCACAAUAGAGAAAAAUAAAUGUUUGUUUUUCUUUUUAUGAGGUUUCUAUUGUACGUCGCAUUAAAAAUAAUAUUAUUACACUUUGAAAAUAAUAAACAAAGAUAUUCAAAAUUAUAUUGAAACAUGCAAAGUAUUAUUGAUAUUAUGUAAUCAAUGGCGUUCUUUAAGAGGAAUGUUGAACAUGAAAUCUGUAUUCGAAGUAUUUUCUUUUUUCCUGCAAUUGUUUUUUAUAGUAAAGAAAAAAUAUAAGACUCUUAAAUUAGAAUUUUUUUAGAUAAAAAGAUAGUAAAAUUAAUAGUAAGUAGUGUAAUAUAGUAUUUUUUACCUUGUAAAGAUUCGAAUCAAUUCUUCAUACAUCCCUUUGUCAAUGCGCUCUUG